Molecule: ribosomal RNA, 253 nt
Filed under: uncultured bacterium
Lineage: Bacteria
Description: partial 16S ribosomal RNA
Rfam family: Bacterial small subunit ribosomal RNA
Source: RNAcentral
UACGAAGGGGGCUAGCGUUGCUCGGAAUCACUGGGCGUAAAGCGCACGUAGGCGGCUUUCUAAGUCAGGGGUGAAAUCCUGGAGCUCAACUCCAGAACUGCCUUUGAUACUGGGAAGCUCGAGUCCGGAAGAGGUGAGUGGAACUGCGAGUGUAGAGGUGAAAUUCGUAGAUAUUCGCAAGAACACCAGUGGCGAAGGCGGCUCACUGGCCCGAUACUGACGCUGAGGUGCGAAAGCUAGGGGAGCGAACAGG